Molecule: non-coding RNA, 84 nt
Submitted as: unclassified sequences
Source: Rfam
CGGCCCUUGCCGGCGAUGUGCCGAAGGGACACGGUUUAGUACACGCCGGAAGGCGCGAUGGAAACACCGUGAGGCAACAAGGAG